AUAUAUAUAUUUAUAUUUUAACUUUCAGUUCAAUUCAGGAUUAAAUCCUACUGUUGUUAAUUAUAGUAUUUCUUUUUAGUUGUAUAAAAUUAUUAAAGUAAUAUUUUCUUAUCGUGUAACAUGUUACCCACGUGUAUACUUGGACCAACCCGUUAUCUUAACAGGUGCUUAUCGGGUUACCCGAUUCGUUAUCGUGUCAACCCGAAAACCUGUUAAUUUUGUGUCAUGUCGCGUCGGGCUAAUAGGUCGUAUCAGAAAUUACCAAGCCUAGUGUGAAUACAUCUACAUCUUCCAUUUCUGCUUCUCCUUUAAAUUCGGGAAGUUUGUUUGUCCAAGUGCUUUAAUCAUUUAUUGUUUUGUAUCUUUGUUGUCUAUUUUUAUUAUUCCCAUCUUUAGUUUUUUUUUUCAUUCUUUUUGCUUUAGUUAUGACAAAAAUAAAUAAAAACAUUACAAAAUUAUAUACUUUUGAAAAAAUCAAGAAUAUUUUAUUUUUCUUUGAGUCUUGUUAUUGGCUACUUCCCAAUUCAAUUAUGAGAUUAAGUCUUAAUUUUCUCCUAACUUUCAAGAAAUUUUAGCUUGACAUUAGUUCUUUACAUUAUCUUUGUUUUAACCACUUUUUAUUUUUUAUUUUUUAUUUUUUAUGAUUAUGACUUGAAAAAUUUAUAUGCACAUAGCCUUGUUGAUAUGAAACUAAAGAAUGAUUUAACGAUUCAUAUGUAAAUUUGGAGAGCUUAUGUAACCCUUGUGAGCUUUUGAGCCUAUUAUAGAUUGAACCAUUAUGCAUCAAUUUCAUUGAUUCUUGUGCGCAUGAUCUCAAUUUUGUAUAUAUCUCUAGAACUGGCUUUAUAUCUCUCAUUGCAAUCAUCAAUUCAUGUAAAAUAUUGGAAAUGAUUUAGGC
Molecule: long non-coding RNA, 898 nt
Filed under: Malus domestica (apple)
Lineage: Eukaryota; Viridiplantae; Streptophyta; Magnoliopsida; Rosales; Rosaceae
Description: long non-coding RNA (MDOM_LNC012803)
Source: RNAcentral